UGGGGAAUAUUGGACAAUGGGGGGAACCCUGAUCCAGCAAUACCGCGUGUGUGAAGAAGGCCUUCGGGUUGUAAAGCACUUUUGUUAGGGAGGAUGGGAGUUAUAGUUAAUACCUAUAGCUUUUGACGUUACCUAAAGAAUAAGCACCGGCUAACUCCGUGCCAGCAGCCGCGGUAAUACGGGGGGUGCAAGCGUUAAUCGGAAUUACUGGGCGUAAAGGGCGCGUAGGCGGUUACUUAAGUUAGAUGUGAAAGCCCAGGGCUCAACCUUGGAAUUGCAUUUAAUACUGGGUAACUAGAGUGUGGUAGAGAGUAGCGGAAUUUCUGGUGUAGCGGUGAAAUGCGUAGAUAUCAGAAGGAACAUCAAUGGCGAAGGCAGCUACUUGGGCCAACACUGACGCUGAGGCGCGAAAGCGUGGGGAGCAAACA
Molecule: ribosomal RNA, 428 nt
Filed under: uncultured bacterium
Lineage: Bacteria
Description: bacterial SSU rRNA
Rfam family: Bacterial small subunit ribosomal RNA
Source: RNAcentral